Molecule: long non-coding RNA, 1439 nt
Organism: Penaeus monodon (black tiger shrimp)
Lineage: Eukaryota; Metazoa; Arthropoda; Malacostraca; Decapoda; Penaeidae
Exons: 3
Source: RefSeq, a predicted model, not a curated record
CUUUCUCCUCUUCCUCUUGUAUCAGAGGGAGGAAGAGGAGUAAGGAUUUCUUCUGAAGUUAAACCAGCUGUUAUUACAAACCUUAGUCAUUUUGAUGCAAUUCAAAUGCAAACAUUGAAAUUCUUCUGAUCAUUAAGUGUUUUCGGGUGUACUCGACAAGCAAUUACAAGUUGUUCUUUUUUCCAUGAAUCCGUGAAUCCGUUGCUGCAAGUAGUUCCGGAUGUGGGUGACGCAUAGAAAAUGCAACAAGUCCUUAGAACCUUUGAAAAAAAAAAUCGUUAACAUUCGUGAAGUAACUCAUCAUUUGGCCAUAUGAAUCCGUCCCUCAAGAUGCAAAGAUCACCUACAGCCUUCCACUUGGAUAAAGAACCGGUCGACGGCGCAGCUCCUCUGGGAGCUACUACACAAAUCUAAGAACCUUCUGGAGACUACUGGGCAAACCCUCAGCGUGAAUUAGUGUAAGAUUUAGUUUUAGUUACUCUUUGGAUAUAUCAGAAGCCUUCUAACGUUACUUUAUAUUAUGUGCAACCACCUAUACUGCUACUAAAAUUCAUUAAUCAUAGAGUCAAAAGGAAUACUCUGAAUUAGAUGCCGAACAAAUGUUGUGAUGGUACCGCAUAGACAUGUUCUAGUUGUGCCCGUUUCAUGUAAUUAUUUUAUCUCGUAUCCUGUCCUAAAUUUAGUUUUGAAAUUGCAUUUAAGAAGUUUAAUAAAAUUUGGUCAAUGACUUACGUUAAGUUGACACGGUGGCCUCCCAGUUAGUGUGGACUUGCAACAUAUAUACUAGCAUUAAGGUCGGUGGCUCCCAGUAAGUGUGUUGAUCCUACAUAGAGCAUGUUGAAAGUUGGUCCAUUUGUCGAGGAAGAUAAAAAACAAUGUUUCCUGUAUUUACCUUAUAAGUUUCUCCCUAUGGUAUUGCAUCUAACUGGGUCUCAUGUUUAUGCGUAUUGACGGUGGGCGAGUGCGCGUUUCAUGCUAGUCUAGCACUGUAACUACCUCAGGUAUUAUCGUUAAGUUUAGGAAUAUAUCACUUUCUCUGUAAUGAUUUCCUUCUGUUCGAGUAUACAUGUACAAUACACUAUACUAUAUCAUGUAUACAAGGAAUACUAAAACAUUUUAGAAUUCCGCUCAUUUCGUAAAUGGAAAGUGAACGCAUGUUCAUGUGAAUGUCUAUAUAUAAACGUAUAUGUAUAUACACACAUGCGUGCAUAUACACGCAUAUAUAUCAUAUAUAUAUAUAUAUAUGCAUACGCGUAUAUGUAUAUAUGCACACAUGACCAUAUAUAUAUACACAUACACGUAUAUUUAUAUGUUUACGCAUGCAGGGAUAUAAGCAAGUGUGUGGAGAUGUAUAUCUAUCUUGAAAUGAUGCAAUUGUGUUUAGUCUUCCUAUGCUGGAUUCCAAAUUGGUGCUACUAUUUUAAGGAUUAUAUGCUGUA